GACGAACGCUGGCGGCGUGCCUAACACAUGCAAGUCGAACGUAGUUAAGCCCUUCGGGACUUAACUUAGUGGCGAACGGGUGAGUAACGCGUGAGGAACCUGCCUUUCAGUGGGGGACAACAGUUGGAAACGACUGCUAAUACCGCAUGAAACUUUUUGGGGGCAUCCCCGAGAAGUCAAAGAUUUAUUGCUGAAAGAUGGCCUCGCGUCUGAUUAGCUAGUUGGCGGGGUAACGGCCCACCAAGGCGACGAUCAGUAGCCGGUCUGAGAGGAUGAACGGCCACAUUGGGACUGAGAUACGGCCCAGACUCCUACGGGAGGCAGCAGUGGGGAAUAUUGGGCAAUGGGCGAAAGCCUGACCCAGCAACGCCGCGUGAAGGAAGAAGGCCUUCGGGUUGUAAACUUCUUUUACCAGGGACGAAGGACGUGACGGUACCUGGAGAAAAAGCAACGGCUAAC
RNAcentral lists this ribosomal RNA (459 nucleotides) under uncultured bacterium. RNAcentral describes it as "bacterial SSU rRNA". It matches the Rfam family "Bacterial small subunit ribosomal RNA", at positions 28 to 501 of the family's 1533-position model. The record is from RNAcentral.